UUAAAUUGUAAGAGUUUGAUCAUGGCUCAGAUUGAACGCUGGCGGCAGGCCUAACACAUGCAAGUCGAACGGUAACAGGAAGCAGCUUGCUGCUUCGCUGACGAGUGGCGGACGGGUGAGUAAUGUCUGGGAAACUGCCUGAUGGAGGGGGAUAACUACUGGAAACGGUGGCUAAUACCGCAUAACGUCGCAAGACCAAAGAGGGGGACCUUCGGGCCUCUUGCCAUCAGAUGUGCCCAGAUGGGAUUAGCUAGUUGGUGAGGUAACGGCUCACCAAGGCGACGAUCCCUAGCUGGUCUGAGAGGAUGACCAGCCACACUGGAACUGAGACACGGUCCAGACUCCUACGGGAGGCAGCAGUGGGGAAUAUUGCACAAUGGGCGCAAGCCUGAUGCAGCCAUGCCGCGUGUAUGAAGAAGGCCUUCGGGUUGUAAAGUACUUUCAGCGGGGAGGAAGGUGUUGUGGUUAAUAACCGCAGCAAUUGACGUUACCCGCAGAAGAAGCACCGGCUAACUCCGUGCCAGCAGCCGCGGUAAUACGGAGGGUGCAAGCGUUAAUCGGAAUUACUGGGCGUAAAGCGCACGCAGGCGGUCUGUCAAGUCGGAUGUGAAAUCCCCGGGCUCAACCUGGGAACUGCAUUCGAAACUGGCAGGCUUGAGUCUUGUAGAGGGGGGUAGAAUUCCAGGUGUAGCGGUGAAAUGCGUAGAGAUCUGGAGGAAUACCGGUGGCGAAGGCGGCCCCCUGGACAAAGACUGACGCUCAGGUGCGAAAGCGUGGGGAGCAAACAGGAUUAGAUACCCUGGUAGUCCACGCCGUAAACGAUGUCUACUUGGAGGUUGUGCCCUUGAGGCGUGGCUUCCGGAGCUAACGCGUUAAGUAGACCGCCUGGGGAGUACGGCCGCAAGGUUAAAACUCAAAUGAAUUGACGGGGGCCCGCACAAGCGGUGGAGCAUGUGGUUUAAUUCGAUGCAACGCGAAGAACCUUACCUGGUCUUGACAUCCACAGAACUUUCCAGAGAUGGAUUGGUGCCUUCGGGAACUGUGAGACAGGUGCUGCAUGGCUGUCGUCAGCUCGUGUUGUGAAAUGUUGGGUUAAGUCCCGCAACGAGCGCAACCCUUAUCCUUUGUUGCCAGCGGUUAGGCCGGGAACUCAAAGGAGACUGCCAGUGAUAAACUGGAGGAAGGUGGGGAUGACGUCAAGUCAUCAUGGCCCUUACGACCAGGGCUACACACGUGCUACAAUGGCGCAUACAAAGAGAAGCGACCUCGCGAGAGCAAGCGGACCUCAUAAAGUGCGUCGUAGUCCGGAUUGGAGUCUGCAACUCGACUCCAUGAAGUCGGAAUCGCUAGUAAUCGUGGAUCAGAAUGCCACGGUGAAUACGUUCCCGGGCCUUGUACACACCGCCCGUCACACCAUGGGAGUGGGUUGCAAAAGAAGUAGGUAGCUUAACCUUCGGGAGGGCGCUUACCACUUUGUGAUUCAUGACUGGGGUGAAGUCGUAACAAGGUAACCGUAGGGGAACCUGCGGUUGGAUCACCUCCUUACCUUAAAGAAGC
Molecule: ribosomal RNA, 1557 nt
Filed under: Salmonella enterica subsp. enterica serovar Hadar str. SA20026260
Lineage: Bacteria; Pseudomonadati; Pseudomonadota; Gammaproteobacteria; Enterobacterales; Enterobacteriaceae
Description: bacterial SSU rRNA
Rfam family: Bacterial small subunit ribosomal RNA
Source: RNAcentral